GCAAAGCUGAGAGGUUUUUUCUUCAACAUAAUGAAUUUGUCUUUGGUCCCACGUUACUGCCUCCAUCGACUUCUCCUUUUCCCAUAGAGGCUUGAGCAAAUCCUUGCAAUAUCUUCAUCAUCUUUUUGUUGAUUUUAGUUGAGCAUAAGAGGAUUUGGUAGGGAGACCAACAGGAGUUGUUACUGGUGCAAUUAAAAAUCCUAGGAUCCUCCAUCUUGUUCCAAAAUAGAGUCAGCGGUCAUUAAAGCAAUUGUUAGAAAACUAAUAUUUUAAUAUCCUUAACUCUUUGAGACUUUCCAUUCCAAAGUAGCUCGCCUGCAAAUGCAAAAAGUUACAAAAGAAUAAAAUCUACAAC
Papaver somniferum (opium poppy) is the source of this 355-nucleotide long non-coding RNA. RefSeq lists it as uncharacterized. NCBI's taxonomy places the organism in Eukaryota, Viridiplantae, Streptophyta, Magnoliopsida, Ranunculales, Papaveraceae. The record is from RefSeq and is a predicted model, not a curated record. The transcript is spliced from 3 exons.